GGAGAGGUGGCAGAGCGGUUUAAUGCACCGGUCUUGAAAACCGGAGUAUCCGAAAGGGUACCGUGAGUUCAAAUCUCACCCUCUCCG
RNAcentral lists this transfer RNA (87 nucleotides) under Candidatus Taylorbacteria bacterium RIFCSPHIGHO2_01_FULL_51_15. RNAcentral's name for it is "tRNA-Ser". It matches the Rfam family "tRNA". Rfam says of the family: Transfer RNA (tRNA) molecules are approximately 80 nucleotides in length. Their secondary structure includes four short double-helical elements and three loops (D, anti-codon, and T loops). The record is from RNAcentral. Lineage: Bacteria; Candidatus Tayloriibacteriota.